UGUGGCGUGUAUGUGUGUAUGUGUGUGCGUGUAAAAAGCGCAUGCGCAUAUAUGCAUGCAUAGUAGUGCCCGGCUCUCUACGUUGGGAGGAGCGGAAACUAAACAUUUCCGUUUCUCUCUAACACAUAAACAAACACAACAUAGCCCAGCGCCGUUGCGUGCUUUCUCUCUCUCUCAACUCUCUCUCUUGUGGGGGGUGUUGUGUGUGGGGGUUUGUGCGCGCGUGUGCCGGAACAAGGCCAAUCGAUGCACGUGUGUGUAUUGUAUUGUUCUUUCUUAGAGAACGAUAUAAAAACCGCGUGCAUGGAUGACGGCUCAAAUAACGUGUCGCGAUGGAUGACUUGGCUUCCUAUCUCGUUGAAGAACGCAGUAAAGUGCGAUAG
RNAcentral lists this unclassified non-coding RNA (383 nucleotides) under Trypanosomatidae sp. 100SI. RNAcentral's name for it is "sequence contains ITS1, 5.8S rRNA gene". The stretch from base 322 to 383 matches the Rfam family "5.8S ribosomal RNA", at positions 1 to 61 of the family's 154-position model. Lineage: Eukaryota; Euglenozoa; Kinetoplastea; Trypanosomatida; Trypanosomatidae. The record is from RNAcentral.